This 71-nucleotide transfer RNA is filed under the name Cordylochernes scorpioides. RNAcentral describes it as "tRNA-Gly". It matches the Rfam family "tRNA". Rfam says of the family: Transfer RNA (tRNA) molecules are approximately 80 nucleotides in length. Their secondary structure includes four short double-helical elements and three loops (D, anti-codon, and T loops). The record is from RNAcentral. Lineage: Eukaryota; Metazoa; Arthropoda; Arachnida; Pseudoscorpiones; Chernetidae.
GCAUCGAUGGUUCAGUGGUAAAAUGCUCGCCUGCCACGCGGGCGGCCCAGGUUCGAUUCCCGGCCGAUGCA